GGCUUUUUGAUUAUAAUUUAAGGUCUAACCUGCCCAAUGAUUGAUUGAAUGGCCGCAGUAUCUUGACUGUGCAAAGGUAGCAUAAUCAUUAGUUUUUUAAAUGAAAGCUUGUAUGAAAGGUUUAAUGAAAAAAAUACUGUCUCUAUUUAAAUAUAUUAGAAUUUUAUUUUUAAGUGAAAAAGCUUAAAUAUUUAUUGAAGACGAGAAGACCCUAUAGAAUUUUAUAUUUUUGUUAUAUUUACUUAAUUUAGAAUUUUGGAAAUAUAUAUAAUAAAAAUAUUUGAUUGGGGUGAUAGAAAAAUUUACUUAACUUUUUUUUUAUUGAUACAUAAAUUAAUGAAUACUUGAUCCUUUAAAUUUAAAGAUAAAAAGAAGAAAUUACCUUAGGGAUAACAGCGUAAUUUUUUUUAGAGUUCUUAUCGAAAAAAAAGAUUGCGACCUCGAUGUUGGAUUAAAAUAAAUUAUUGGUGUAGAAGCUAGUAUUUUAGGUCUGUUCGACCUUUAAAUUUUUACAUGAUCUGAGUUUAAACCGGUGUGA
This 538-nucleotide ribosomal RNA is filed under the name Onyxacalles vilae. RNAcentral's name for it is "partial 16S ribosomal RNA". It matches the Rfam family "Bacterial large subunit ribosomal RNA", at positions 1819 to 2624 of the family's 2925-position model. Lineage: Eukaryota; Metazoa; Arthropoda; Insecta; Coleoptera; Curculionidae. The record is from RNAcentral.